UCAAUCUGUAGUAAAUUUUAACUUUGAUUAUGUACAGGUGGAGGAUGAUAAAGACAAGAUUAUUGAUCAGUUACAGGAAAGAGUUAUAGAACUUGAAUUGGAAAAUAAAAAGAUGAUAGCUGACAAGGAUGUUAUCAUUGAACAAUUACAACAGACAAUUGCAGAAACUGAAAUAAAAUAUGAAAAUAUGAUGGAAGAUCUAAAGAAUGCUAUGAAACUCCAAGAAAAUGAAUUAACACAAUUAAAGAUUCAAAUAUCAAAGAAAAAAGAUGGUAUUUCCUGAUGUCUAAGAUUUUGGCAUAAAUAUGAGGCUAAGAUCACUAUGGAAACAGAAAUGUGCAAUGGUUGAAUGAAACAGUUCAGUGGUAGUUACAAAUAUAUAUAAAGUGUAGUACAGCUUGUGUAUUUUAGAUAGCAGAAAGUAAUCUCUGGUCAUAUACUACACUUAACCUGAUUAAAAAAAAAAACCUGAUUGAAACAUAGUCUUUGUUAACAGUAUAGUGCCAGGCAGUCUGCUCAUCUAUGUAGUCUGAUCAGGCUCUAUACUGCCGGUGGCUCUAUUUUUCAUUAUGAUACUGAAAUCCCUUAUACUUUGAAUGGAAUGUUCCAAAUAAAUCCCCUAGACUUGGAAUGGACUGUUCCAAAUUCAAAGCAGGGCAAAUCCAUUACAUAAAGUAAGAAUGCUUAGUAUUGAAAUACAACCAUUUUAUGUUGUAACAUAAUAUUCUGAUAAGUUAGUUUAGACAUAUAAAAAAACACGACAACAAACAAGUACAGAAGCUUUUUUAGUUAAGUGUAAUAUUGUUGUUAAAGUUAAAAAUCAUAAAUAUUUAAUUAUGUUUUUUAUAAAUGAUUCAAAAUUUUAUAUGAUAUAAGAAUUAAAAAAAAAACGAAUCAAUUUUUUCUCUUAUAAAUUCUGUCCAUUAUGUAGGCUCGUAAUCAUGUUUAUUUAUUACUACAUAGAUUGAUACUGUUGUUUAUUAUUGAAUUGUUAUUGUAUUGUUGAAUGAUAUGUUAAAAUUUAAAUGUAUAACUAAUAAUAAUUGAUCUCACUAAUUGUCAUAAGUAUAUCAAAAUCCAUUGCUCUUUAUUUUAUAUUCAUAUUGUCAGUCAAUUUGUUUUUAAAUUUGUUAAAAAAAUAGCUCUCACUCUGUUAGUGAAAGAGUAGAAAUAGGGUAAAUAAUUCUUUUAUAUCAUGUAUAUAAUAUGUUAAGAGUGUUAACUGAUUGCAUAUUCAUUAAUUUUUAUGUUCGGAAUACAAUUCAACUUUUUUUAAGAAACAAUUAACAACGAAAUGUGAAUAAUGUUUCUAAAGGUCAAAUAUGAAAUUGAAUUGUUGAAGAUCCAGGAUUUGUUUAAUAUCAGAUUGGUAUAAACUUUGUUUUAUGGUACCCUAUGAAUUACUGAGUUUUAUUAGUAUUUUAAUUGCUCACUGCAUGUCACCUGCAAAGUGAGUGAUUAAGCAUGCCUGUUUCCUGCACUUCAAAAAAAACAGUCAACUGUUUUAAAAUUAAUAUGCAUAAUAUAAACAGGAGCUUUGUUUUUUUUUAAGAAUAUAAAAUAUAUUUACCUCCAAGUGAGAAAAUAUCCACAUUAUUAAUGUAGCUAUGCACUCAUAAAACUGGCAAUUUUCUUACUUCUCAGUAAAAUAUUUAUAUUCACUCGAAAUCAAAUAUCCUCAAUGUAAGUAUAAAAUGUCAAUAAUUUUCUUUAGCAUUGCCAAUAAAGUCAUGUUAAUUUCAGUAAAACUUUUGAUAAAUAUUAUAAAAGAUCUGUUUUAUUAUUUUUUGUUAUGGAUAUACACAUAUUUUAUUUCUUUAUUUUUGUUAUUACUUUUUUAGCUCGACUAUUCGAUAAGAAUAAGUAGAGCUAUUGCAGUCACCCGAGCGUCGGCGUCGGCGUAACCACUUAUGUUAAAGUUUUUGUAAUAGUUCAAAUAUUUUCAAAGUCCAUUGACAUAUGGCUUUGAAACUUUGCACACUUGUUCACCAUCAUGACCCCAACCUGUAGACAGGAGGAGGUAAGUCUAUCAAGCAUUUUGACAGAAUUAUGCCCCUUUUUCGAAUUAGAAUUUACGUUAAAGUUUUUGUAAUACAGUAGAACUUCGGUAAGUCGAAGUUGAAGGGACUUGGGUAAAAACUUCGACACAUCGGGACUUCGACUCAUGAAUCGCUCUCAAAUCCAUGACAAAAUUUCGACCUGUGACUAGUGCUAAUCAUAAGAUCUAUAACGAAACUUUUUUCAUGUUUUUCAAUCAUUAAUCAGAUAUUUUACAAUGAUAAAUAUAGCAUGUUA
This is a long non-coding RNA of Ruditapes philippinarum (Manila clam), 2295 nucleotides long. RefSeq lists it as uncharacterized. The transcript has 5 exons. NCBI's taxonomy places the organism in Eukaryota, Metazoa, Mollusca, Bivalvia, Venerida, Veneridae. The record is from RefSeq and is a predicted model, not a curated record.